GUGACAGGGAUGAUAGAGGCAAUAGCUCAAAUCAAAGCAACAAGGGAAAUACCACUUCUGGAUCUGCCCCUGACAAAGAAACUCAUAAGUCUAAAGGCAAAGAACCGUUACAUCAGUCCGAUAAUGUUUUCAAUUCUGAUAGUUAUGAUGACUAUCCACAGGAUAUGGAUGAUGAUGACAUCUUCGAUGCUACCUAUCGUCAAGCAGAAGAAGAAGAAGG
Molecule: long non-coding RNA, 220 nt
Filed under: Daucus carota (carrot)
Lineage: Eukaryota; Viridiplantae; Streptophyta; Magnoliopsida; Apiales; Apiaceae
Description: long non-coding RNA (DCAR_LNC006630)
Source: RNAcentral